GGCCGUGUAGCUCAGCUGGUUAGAGCGCAUCACUCAUAAUGAUGAGGUCGAGAGUUCGAGUCUCUCCAUUGCCACCA
RNAcentral lists this transfer RNA (77 nucleotides) under Agrobacterium salinitolerans. RNAcentral describes it as "tRNA-Met". It matches the Rfam family "tRNA". Rfam says of the family: Transfer RNA (tRNA) molecules are approximately 80 nucleotides in length. Their secondary structure includes four short double-helical elements and three loops (D, anti-codon, and T loops). The record is from RNAcentral. Lineage: Bacteria; Pseudomonadati; Pseudomonadota; Alphaproteobacteria; Hyphomicrobiales; Rhizobiaceae.